GGACGAACGCUGGCGGCGUGCUUAACACAUGCAAGUCGAACGCUGAAGCCUGGCUUUUGUUGGGUGGAUGAGUGGCGAACGGGUGAGUAACACGUGAGUAACCUGCCCUCUUCUUUGGGAUAACGCCCGGAAACGGGUGCUAAUACUGGAUAUUCACUGGCCUUCGCAUGGGGGUUGGUGGAAAGGUUUUUUCUGGUGGGGGAUGGGCUCGCGGCCUAUCAGCUUGUUGGUGGGGUGAUGGCCUACCAAGGCUUUGACGGGUAGCCGGCCUGAGAGGGUGACCGGUCACAUUGGGACUGAGAUACGGCCCAGACUCCUACGGGAGGCAGCAGUGGGGAAUAUUGCACAAUGGGCGAAAGCCUGAUGCAGCGACGCCGCGUGAGGGAUGGAGGCCUUCGGGUUGUAAACCUCUUUCGCUCAUGGUCAAGCCGCAACUGUGGGUUGUGGUGAGGGUAGUGGGUAAAGAAGCGCCGGCUAACUACGU
RNAcentral lists this ribosomal RNA (484 nucleotides) under Actinomyces sp. 'ARUP UnID 71'. RNAcentral's name for it is "bacterial SSU rRNA". It matches the Rfam family "Bacterial small subunit ribosomal RNA", at positions 27 to 506 of the family's 1533-position model. The record is from RNAcentral. Lineage: Bacteria; Bacillati; Actinomycetota; Actinomycetes; Actinomycetales; Actinomycetaceae.